UAAGUAAAUCGCCUUAUCGAACCAAACUUGUUUUGGUUAGGAAAGUCCGAACACCAUAGUGUAAGCAUAGUGGUUAACAGCCACCAGUCGUGAGGCUAGGAAAAGUGCAACAGAAAGAAUGUACAGGUCAUGCUGUAGUGAAAUCAGGUAAACUCUAUGUGGUGCAAUGUCAUGUAAACUAGUGCUUGAGCGUACACGCGCGAUGCUAGAGGGUAGGCAGCUAAAGUGUUUUGGUAACAAUACACUCAGAUAAAUGAUAAGGGCUUUUCUUUUUAAGAAUUUAUUUUCAUAAAAAGAAAAUGUACAGAAUUCGGCUUAUAGAUUUACUUAAACA
Molecule: RNase P RNA, 334 nt
Filed under: Lacinutrix iliipiscaria
Lineage: Bacteria; Pseudomonadati; Bacteroidota; Flavobacteriia; Flavobacteriales; Flavobacteriaceae
Description: RNase P RNA component class A
Rfam family: Bacterial RNase P class A
About the family: Ribonuclease P (RNase P) is a ubiquitous endoribonuclease, found in archaea, bacteria and eukarya as well as chloroplasts and mitochondria. Its best characterised activity is the generation of mature 5'-ends of tRNAs by cleaving the 5'-leader elements of precursor-tRNAs.
Source: RNAcentral